Molecule: long non-coding RNA, 498 nt
Organism: Parasteatoda tepidariorum (common house spider)
Lineage: Eukaryota; Metazoa; Arthropoda; Arachnida; Araneae; Theridiidae
Source: RefSeq, a predicted model, not a curated record
UCCUUACCGACCAGGCUAUCCCGGCCAUCUAUUAAUAUUUGUAAAAAACUGAGAAAUGAAAGUUUUGUUUUGCAUCUGUUGAUAUAACCUUUCUCUUACAGCCUUCCCCGAGGGAAGCCUCAUCAGCCCGGACAAGACCCCUUCCACCUCUUUACCGGAAUCGAAGCAGACCUGCAGCAGCAAUCCGGAUGAUUCAAGGGCGACCAAACCGGAGCAGAGUUGGAAGAAUUGUUAGACCCAGGAACAGAAGGGUACAAGUCAUUGUACGACGAUAUCCACUGGAACUGUCACUCCAACACCCGACUUUGCGACAGUAAGUUUUUUCCCCUGUCAUUUGUUUGCUUUUUUGCGACAAUCUGUGUAAUAUUGCUUUUGUGAAAAUUGCUUUUGUGACAGAUCUAUGUCUAAAUUGAGGAAGUGGCCUGAAAAAUUGUGAUGCUAUGCUUUUGGAUCAUCUUCAGGGUUGUUUCCCAUAUUGUCACCAAUAGAUUAUUAUGC